GGAAAUAUGCCUGAACUUCAAGGACUACUUUGAUAGAGUACGCUAC
This 46-nucleotide transfer RNA is filed under the name Chalcides ocellatus. RNAcentral's name for it is "partial tRNA-Ile". Lineage: Eukaryota; Metazoa; Chordata; Lepidosauria; Squamata; Scincidae. The record is from RNAcentral.